This is an RNA transcript of Apis mellifera (honey bee), 1305 nucleotides long. RefSeq lists it as uncharacterized. Lineage: Eukaryota; Metazoa; Arthropoda; Insecta; Hymenoptera; Apidae. The transcript has 5 exons. The record is from RefSeq and is a predicted model, not a curated record.
AUUUAUAAAAGUAUAAAUAAAUUUUAUGCAUAAUUUCAAAAGAUUGGUAUGAAUAAUACGAAACAAUUUUACGUAACCUGAAUGAUUAUAACCUAUAUGAAAGUUGAAAAUUUGUCAGUAAAAAGAGAUAAAAAAAAGAAAAUCAGUGGUUUGAAACAAGAAAUAUUUGAAAAUAAGAGCUUAGUGGAAAUGGACAAUGUGGAAAUUAUAAUGGUCGAAUCUCGUGAUUUGUGUUGUAAAAACUGUAAAUACUGUGAUGGAAUAUUUAGAAAGAUUCUGGUAAAAAAAGAAAAUUCAUGAACCUAAGCACAUGUGAACUUAUUAUGAGCACAAUUGCUCAAUUUUUUUCUGUAGAAGAUAAAGUCGAGAUAAAGAUCCGAGCUAUCGUGUGGAUUUGUUCAAUUGCCAUUAAUAAAUUUGUAAUAAUUUGUAAUGAAAUGACAACACUCGUAUCAUUAGAAUCCACUGCAUUGUGUUUUUUUGAAAUGAAAAUAGUGAAGGAAGAUUUGACUCUAGUCUUCUUGAAUGUGAAAAAAUUCAUCCAAUAUGCACACUGUCACUGCACAUACUGUCAAUGUACACACUUUAAGAUGGGCAAUUUCAAGAUAUUAUGCAGAAGCACGAUCGUUAACUUUAAAGCCAUUCUAUUCUAUCAUCUUUAAACGUAAUGAAACAAAGUAAGAAAUUUGGUUACCAGAUAUAGGAACUUUUGGUCCUUUGGUACAACAUGUAUCUAAAAAUAUAAUGACAGUAAAAUACUAAGCUUGGAUUAAACAUCCAUCAGAAGAAUUUAAAUUUGUGAAUAUUAAUUUAGAUGAAAAUGAUUUAAGCGUAUCAAAAGAACAUUAACAUUAACAUAUCACAUAUCACAAGAUGAUAAUAUAAGAAGAUAAAAUGGUAAAGCAUUGAUACAGAUGUUUCGAGAUGAUACUUUAACACUUGAAAAUUUAGAUGGAAAUAGAUUUGGAUUCAAGGACUCAAUAUAGAAUCUACAAUUUUACCAUACAGUAUCAUUGAAAAUUUUGAAGUUGGAUGUGAUCGUUCCGUAGAGAAUAAUAUGAUAUCUAUUUAUAUUUUUAUAUUUAACAUUAAUAUUCAAUGAUAGGCAAUGAUAGAGAUUGGCAUGGUGAAAUUAAAUAGAAGUUUGAAAAUGAUAUGGUAAGCGAUAAUUGAAGAAAUGAGUCAUGAAAAAAAAUUGAAGAUAAAUUUAUGAGCGAAAAUAAAUAUAAAUCUGAGGAUAUCUUCGUUAACAAUAUUCCUACGUAUUUAGAAGCAUUGAAAAAAAAAAAAAAAAAGAAAAAGAAA